AGUCCUACAAGGUGGAUGCAGUAUGUUAUGACGGAUGAUACAGUUCUCAUGAAUGUGGAUUCAGUGUCCCUGCCGUGCUUGCAGUGCCCCCCACAUUGUCCAGGAAUGUGGAUGCAGUAGUCAUGCAGUGGAUGCAGUUUCCCACAAGGUGGAUGCAGUAUGUUAUGACGGAUGAUGCAGUUCUCAUGAAGGUGGAUGCAGUGUCCCUGCAGUGCUUGCAGUGCCCCCCGCAUUGUCCGGGAAUGUGGAUGCAGUAGUCAUGCAGUGGAUGCAGUGUCCCACAAGGUGGAUGCAGUAUGUUGUGACGGAGGAUGCAGUGCCCAUGAAGGUGGAUGCAGUGAUCCUGCAGUGGUUGCACUGCCUCUACAGUUUACCUGAAAGUGGAUACAGUGGUCAUGCACUGGACUCUGUUUCCCUCAAGGUCGAUGCCCUAUGUUGUGUUGGAGGAUUCAGUGAUCAUGAAGAAGGAUGCAGUGAUCCUGCAGUCAUUGCAGUGCACCUGCAGUGCCUCUUCAGCUGGCUGCAGUGUCCCUGCAGUGGUUGCACGCCCCCUUCUGUGUCCCUGAAUGUGGAUGCAUUGCCAAUGCAGAAGAUGCAGAGUACCAAAAGUUGGUUUCCGUUCCAUAUGUUGUCACAGAGGAUGCAGUGCCCACGAGUUGGAUGCAGUGAGCCGGCAGUGACUGCAGUACACCUGCAGUGCCACUUCAGCUGGAUGCAGUGUCCCUGCAGUGGUUGCAAUGCCCACUGCAUUUACCUGGAAUGUGGAUGCAGUGCUCAUGCAGUGGAUGUAGUGUCCCACAUGGUGGAGGCAUUGUGGUGUGUUGUAGUAUGCAGUGCUGAGGAAGGUGGAUGCAAUGAUCCAGCAGUGAUGGCAGUGUGCCUGCAGUGCCACUUUAGCUGGAAGCAGUG
RNAcentral lists this long non-coding RNA (909 nucleotides) under Equus caballus (horse). RNAcentral's name for it is "lncRNA (ENSECAG00000057604.1)". The record is from RNAcentral. Lineage: Eukaryota; Metazoa; Chordata; Mammalia; Perissodactyla; Equidae.